Molecule: ribosomal RNA, 261 nt
Filed under: uncultured prokaryote
Description: partial 16S ribosomal RNA
Rfam family: Bacterial small subunit ribosomal RNA
Source: RNAcentral
UACGUAGGUGGCGAGCGUUAUCCGGAAUUAUUGGGCGUAAAGAGCGCGCAGGUGGUUGAUUAAGUCUGAUGUGAAAGCCCACGGCUUAACCGUGGAGGGUCAUUGGAAACUGGUCGACUUGAGUGCAGAAGAGGGAAGUGGAAUUCCAUGUGUAGCGGUGAAAUGCGUAGAUAUUAGGAGGAACACCAGUUGCGAAGGCGGCUCUCUGGACUGUAACUGACGCUGAGGCACGAAAGCGUGGGGAGCAAACAGGAUUAGAUA